AUUGAACGCUGGCGGCAUGCCUUACACAUGCAAGUCGAACGGCAGCGGACCUUCGGGUGCCGGCGAGUGGCGAACGGGUGAGUAAUAUAUCGGAACGUACCUUUCAGUGGGGGAUAACGUAGCGAAAGUUACGCUAAUACCGCAUAUUCUGUGAGCAGGAAAGCAGGGGAUCGCAAGACCUUGCGCUGAUUGAGCGGCCGAUAUCAGAUUAGCUAGUUGGUGAGGUAAAGGCUCACCAAGGCGACGAUCUGUAGCGGGUCUGAGAGGAUGAUCCGCCACACUGGAACUGAGACACGGUCCAGACUCCUACGGGAGGCAGCAGUGGGGAAUUUUGGACAAUGGGCGUAAGCCUGAUCCAGCCAUGCCGCGUGAGUGAAGAAGGCC
This 384-nucleotide ribosomal RNA is filed under the name uncultured bacterium. Its description in RNAcentral is "bacterial SSU rRNA". It matches the Rfam family "Bacterial small subunit ribosomal RNA", at positions 30 to 416 of the family's 1533-position model. The record is from RNAcentral.